RNAcentral lists this ribosomal RNA (648 nucleotides) under uncultured bacterium. Its description in RNAcentral is "SSU rRNA". It matches the Rfam family "Bacterial small subunit ribosomal RNA", at positions 277 to 915 of the family's 1533-position model. The record is from RNAcentral.
UGACGGGUAGCUGGUCUGAGAGGACGACCAGCCACACGGGGACUGAGACACGGCCCCGACUCCUACGGGAGGCAGCAGUGGGGAAUUUUCCGCAAUGGGCGAAAGCCUGACGGAGUGACGCUGCGUGUGGGACGAAGGCCUUCGGGUCGUAAACCACUGUCAGUGGGAAAGAUGGGUGUCGGCGUGAUAACCGCCGGCAUUUGACGGUACCUGCAGAGGAAGCCCCGGCUAACUCUGUGCCAGCAGCCGCGGUAAGACAGAGGGGGCAAGCGUUGCUCGGAAUUACUGGGCGUAAAGGGCGCGUAGGCGGGAUGGCAAGUCGGUCGUGAAAUCCCUCGGCUCAACUGAGGAUCGUCGAUCGAUACUGCCGUUCUUGAGGAUUGCAGAGGAGACUGGAAUUCCCGGUGUAGCGGUGAAAUGUGUAGAGAUCGGGAGGAACACCGGUGGCGAAGGCGGGUCUCUGGGCAAUUCCUGACGCUGAGGCGCGAAAGCGUGGGGAGCAAACGGGAUUAGAUACCCCGGUAGUCCACGCUGUAAACGAUGACGACUAGGUGUGGGGGGGUUCAGUCCCUUCCGUGCCGCAGCUAACGCAUUAAGUCGUCCGCCUGGGGAGUACGGCCGCAAGGUUGAAACUCAAAGGAAUUGACG